This is a small RNA of Treponema denticola ATCC 35405, 95 nucleotides long. It matches the Rfam family "TD-2 RNA". From Rfam's summary of the family: non coding RNA found in Treponema denticola Lineage: Bacteria; Pseudomonadati; Spirochaetota; Spirochaetia; Treponematales; Treponemataceae. The record is from Rfam.
AUGGACACGGAUGUCCAUGGUUCCAAACUUGAGAGUUUUGCGUAAGCAAAACUCUAAGAUUAAAAAUGUACAAGGAUGUACAUUUUUAAUCGACC